GACGAACGCUGGCGGCGUGCUUAACACAUGCAAGUCGAACGGAAAGGCCCUGCUUGUGUGGGGUGCUCGAGUGGCGAACGGGUGAGUAACACGGGAGUAACCUGCCCUUGACUUUGGGAUAACUUCAGGAAACUGGGUCUAAUACCGGAGAGGAGCGCCGGCUGCAUGGUGGGGGUUGGAAAGGUUCGGCGGUUGGGGAUGGACUCGCGCCUUAUCAGCUUGUUGGUGGGGUAGUGGCUUACCAAGGCGUUGACGGGUAGCCGGCCUGAGAGGGUGACCGGCCAUAUUGGGACUGAGAUACGGCCCAUACUCCUACGGGAGGCAGCAGUGGGGAAUAUUGCACAAUGGGCGGAAGCCUGAUGCAGCAACGCCGCGUGCGGGAUGACGGCCUUCGUGUUGUAACCCGCUUUCGCCUGUGACGAAGCGUGAGUGACGGUAAUGGGUAAAGAAGCACCGGCUAACUACGUG
RNAcentral lists this ribosomal RNA (468 nucleotides) under uncultured bacterium. RNAcentral describes it as "partial 16S ribosomal RNA". It matches the Rfam family "Bacterial small subunit ribosomal RNA", at positions 28 to 507 of the family's 1533-position model. The record is from RNAcentral.